CUUUGGGCCAGAUGGCAUUGCUGAGGCAUGAGCCAUAGCCGCUAAGUGGCUACUGAGGGGCUGGGGAGGAACCGGCUGGAAUGGCUUUCCUUGGAGAGCUUAAAAUGGCAGGUGGCUCUGCACGCACUCGCUUGUUAAAUCCUACAGAAACAGGCUCUGCCUGGCCGACAUAGGCCUGCUUUGGGUGAGCUCCAGAAAUGCCAUGAUGAUCGUGUUAUUUUCUUUCGGUUUUGUGGCAUUUCUACUUUUGGUCCUUGGAAAAACAGCAGGAGCGUUGCCCAACAAAUGGAGCGCAGGGAGAAAAAAUAGGCUGAGGUAAGAUGCUGCGGCUUUGCCAGGAAGUGCCAGCGUGGUCACGAGAGGCUUUGCUUCACAUGUGACUGUCAAGUGCUUUAGAGAGCCGCUUGAGAAGCCCAGGAGAUGUUGGCAUUUGAUGUGCAAUGCGUUUGGGCUGCUUGGCCACCUGUAGAUCACUUGUAAGGCAAGCUCUGAGCAGGUAGCCUUGCAUGUAUUUGCAGACCAUGGGGGUUGGCUCCUCCUGCCCAGGUAGCCAGGCUGUCAUUGGCAGGGCUCUGCCUCUCUCUUGGAAGCCUCUCCACGCACUAACUUUUCCUCUGCCUCUCCUGCUUCAGCCGCGCUCACCCGCCUCGGGUCUUUGUGGUGGUGGUGUGUUGAGUUAGCUCUGCCUGCUGGUAACCCUUCUUUUAACAAACCUCAGGGUGAACAAGGACAAGCAGGAAUCCAAGGUCCUCCAGGGCCACCUGGCCCACCAGGACCUGCUGGACCAGCUGGACCAGAGGGAACCCCAGGACAGCCCGGACCAAUUGGGCCACCUGGCAGAGAUGGAGAACCUGGGAAGCCUGGCAGAGAUGGAAAGGUGGGUGCCAGAAACCAGCUCUGCCCCCAUCACUUUGCAUAGCAUUGUCUACAUUUGCCAACUCCAGUAUCUAUUUUGUUUUUAUUUACAGGGCUUACCUGGGCCUCCUGGACCAAAGGGAGACCCUGGGAUUCAAGGAUACCCUGGCAGAAAGGUAAGAGGGGGCAGUUCCAAUACUGCUAAAUGAAUUAAGCUGCGCUGAUGCCUUGUGGGAUGACAGCUGCAAAUCCCUGGACUCCUAUGGAGCUCCUUGCUGGUUUCCUUUCACUGGAUCAAGGGCUGUUGCGAGUCCACGGAUCCCCUAAUGCUCACCUGUGUAAGGAAAGUUGGGACCCAGAGAUGUCUUUAACUCUCAGGCAGCAAUGGUACAGAUUUCUCCCUACUCAUACCCACUUCCACAUUUAGAUCUAGCUCUUAUACUACUAGAAAGGGUCAAAUCCUGGCUAUAUAUGACUUAAAAGUUUAUCCUUUCCCUGGUUAAAAGGCAGAAGCUGGCAUUGCCUGCAGGUCUGCAACAGCAGCUAAUUAGCAGCAGGGUUGAGUCAAGUCUGGAAGGUGUAAUGAAGAGACAGGGAGACCAGGGAAAGCGCAAAGGAAGAUCAAAGGGGAAGAGGGAAUGGUGAGGUACUGCUAAAGGGAUGUUAGUGGGAGAAGGGGAAGGCAAAUGCUCCCAGCAGGCAGGAGUCCCAUGUCCCAUGUUAUCUCUGCACUGCUUUAUGGCUGCUCUGUGGGCUAAAAGGCAAGACCUGAGAGCUUUUUAAUUAGUUCUGUAUAAGCCAAGACGGUUUUGUUAUGUUAGGAAGUGGAAAUUAUAGCCCCCGUGGACCACAGCCCACUCCUGCAGACAGACACAAUUUAUUGCUGCCUCUUGCAGUGAACCAUCCAUCGGUUUUUCCAUUCAGAGCCCAUCCUGUUCUGAGUGUGCUGGCGGGUGGCUCUCAG
Long non-coding RNA from Coturnix japonica (Japanese quail), 1819 nucleotides. NCBI's taxonomy places the organism in Eukaryota, Metazoa, Chordata, Aves, Galliformes, Phasianidae. The record is from Ensembl.